Non-coding RNA from Pangasianodon gigas (Mekong giant catfish), 72 nucleotides. Lineage: Eukaryota; Metazoa; Chordata; Actinopteri; Siluriformes; Pangasiidae. The record is from the annotation of a GenBank genome assembly.
GGCAUGGUGGUUUAGUGGUUAGUAUGUUUGCCUCACACCUCUAGGGUUGGGGCUCAAUUCCCGCCUAUGCUC